This 240-nucleotide non-coding RNA is filed under the name Balearica regulorum gibbericeps (East African grey crowned-crane). Its description in RNAcentral is "Balearica pavonina gibbericeps Eukaryotic large subunit ribosomal RNA". It matches the Rfam family "Eukaryotic large subunit ribosomal RNA", at positions 1519 to 1724 of the family's 3401-position model. The record is from Rfam by way of RNAcentral. Lineage: Eukaryota; Metazoa; Chordata; Aves; Gruiformes; Gruidae.
AGCAGUUGAACAUGGGUCAGUCGGUCCUAAGCGAUAGGCGAGCGCCGUUCCGAAAGGGCGGGCGAUGGCCUCCGUUGCCCUCAGCCGAUCGAAAGGGAGUCGGGUUCAGAUCCCCGAAUCCGGAGUGGCGGAGACGGGCGCCGCGAGGCGCCCAGUGCGGUGACGCAACCGAUCCCGGAGAAGCCGGCGGGAGCCCCGGGGAGAGUUCUCUUUUCUUUGUGAAGGGCCGGGCGCCCUGGA